GUCCCCAUUCUUUUCCCCAACAGUAUAUUCUUUGUGAUCUCGCCCAAGAAUCUUGACAAUAUGACCUCAUGUGGAAUCUUUAAAGAGAUCUAUUUAAAGCAAGUCACGCCUGAUUUGAGGACAUGGAAAGACCCAUAAUCUUGCCAUACCCAUGAUGGGGAAGUGAGCCCCUAAAAGCAGGGAUCAUAGCAGAGCACUUUGAUUUUUCUGCUUCUUAUUCCUAAACCCAAUGUAGAAAAAAGAAAUGUGGAAAAACGUAGGAUUUUGGCACAUAUUUAAAGGUUGGAAUAUAAUCAUGCUAGAGGCCACCAUGUAAAUAAGGACAAGGACAACUGACACAACUGACCUUAAGUAAAACACCUCAGCUACUACUAUAAUUAUGGGGCACCCUGUGGCUCAGUCAUUUAAGUGUUGGACUCUUGAUUUUGGCUGAGGUCACAGUCUCAUGGGUUGGUAAGAUAGAGCCCUGUGUGGGGCUCUGCACUGACAGUGGGUAACCUGCUUGGGAUUCUCUCCCUCCCUCCCUCUCUGCCCCUCCCCACACCUGUGCACUCCCUUGUGCACGUGCUCACUCUGUCUCAAAAUAAAUAAACAUUUAAAA
Molecule: long non-coding RNA, 601 nt
Organism: Felis catus (domestic cat)
Lineage: Eukaryota; Metazoa; Chordata; Mammalia; Carnivora; Felidae
Exons: 2
Source: RefSeq, a predicted model, not a curated record